Molecule: long non-coding RNA, 2872 nt
Filed under: Anas zonorhyncha (Eastern spot-billed duck)
Lineage: Eukaryota; Metazoa; Chordata; Aves; Anseriformes; Anatidae
Description: lncRNA (ENSAZOG00000013117.1)
Source: RNAcentral
AUGGUGAAUGGCUGCAGUUACUACAUUCUACUUGAUGUAACUUCUAUUUUGACAGCAUCUUUCCAAUCCACUGUGCAACAGCAUUUAAUAGAUUGCCAAGAUGGGCAGAGCUGGGGAGCCCUGGAAGGCACUGGAGUCAGCCCAAUCCUGCUGUCCAGCAGGUCACUCACAUAUCUCGUGUCCCGGGGGUUUUGGUGCUCAUGUGCAUGGAGCUGUGAGAAGGUGGAGCUGAGAAAAGAGGCAGCAAACAUUACCAUGGCUAGCUUGUUGGACAUGGUCCAGCUACUGUUUUCUGGGAAAAAAAAAAAAAAGAUAACUUUUUCUUCUUCAGUGGCUGUGGUUCUGCUUUAUGAUCUUAUACUUGAAAAGUACUUUAUGACCAUUAUUUGGUGCAACAUGGUGUGCAGAGCCUGGGGAUUCAGAGACAGGUGGUACGUCUAUGCUGCAGAGCACAGAGCUAGGCGAGUAAACAGCAGGGGUCCUGGAGGCAGAAAACUGUCUGUUAGGCAUUUAUUUGCUGCUGUUCAUAUAAUAGUGAUGGUGUGUCUACAUGUUGUUCUGGAACUAGUCCUGUUCAUCUCACAUCCUAGAGAUUGGGCAGGCCCUUGUCUGAGGGAUUUCUCUGCAAACUUACUAAGUGCUUUUUAUUCCUCCCUGCCUCAUCCCAGUCUCAGAAGUGUGAGUCAUUAAAGAUGCUCAAGCCUUGAACGCUAUGGGGAGAAAAGUCUAGAGCUGUAUGGAAAUGGAUUGUGAGGACACGGAAAUAAUCUCCUUCACAGCGUCUCUGCUGUCACCACAUCUCUUGGGGAUUCCUUUUCCCAUCCAUGGUUCACUGAGUGUAUGCCAUCUGCUAGGGGAUGUUCUGGGAAGCUCCUGGUGCCCAAGGCUGUGCUGUUCUCCUGCAACAUGGUGGGAGUUAGUAUUUUUAGUUGCGUUUCUUGGUUGAGAAAUCACUGAUGGGAAGAACAUACGCUGGUUACAAGCAAUACAUGCUGAAAAGUAAGGAUUGUGAAGGAUCUCAAAUUGCUUAAAUCUAUUCAUGUGUGUAUAUUUCAGAUACAUGCUUCAUUAUGUCCCUGGAUUCCUGGUCAGUGUCUCUGAGAUAAUUGUCUGGUCUUUGCUACCACUGUUCUAGCAUGACAUCAGGCAGCAAAAUAGAGCAGUUGGAGACCUUUCUCUGUUGUCUGGCAGUUUGACACCUGGACACACUGAGAUCCCAGAAGAGUUCUGUGUUUGGAGACUGGGUCUGAGCAAAGAGACCUCUCUCUUCUUUCUUCAGAUGAAGAGACCUUGUAUAUGUGCUUGAAAUGGGAAGUACACAAAUCUCAGAAUUGUGUCAAUUAUUUUUAAUGAAUUCCAGUUAAUGCAUGUGCAAUUGGGUCUAAACCUGGAAUAUAGGCAUGAGCCUAUAUGUGUGUGUUCAAGCAUGGUAGCAUUGGUCAAAACUCUGUGGUUCCUGACUACCAGGCUUAGUUGUAACCAACUGAGCUCCAGCCCAGCUCCAGUUGCACAUAGCCUGAAUUUCUGAGCACAGGAAAUCUAAAGAUGGAACAAGACCUUUACAUUGAAGUCUGCCAGCACCUGUGGGAGUAAAUGGAGAAGGCUGUCUCCUAGCACAGUCCAGAUGCAUUGCAAGCCACGAAAUAGUCCUGUCUCUUGAAAUUUCCAGCCUGAUCUGGAGACUGGUGCCUCCCUGAUGUAAUGGUAGUGACAGUCACCAGCAGCUGUAUGCUUCGAUGUCCACUCACAUCAAAUGCUACACCUAGAUUGCAUUCUGGUAGGCAGUCUUUAACAGCACUGAGAUGGGCUGUGAUAACAAGGCUUUAACAGAUUUGUAAAACUGCUGCCCUAUUCAUAACUGCCAUGCAGUCUUAGAAUGCCAGGUAUUUCUUCUUGUAAGGUACUGUUUUCCGAGUCCUCAUAUGUGCCCUUAUAUUCAGAUAGGCCACACAUCUGUACACUACUUCAGGACUGAUUGUUAUUGGGGUGUGUGUGUGUGUUCUCUUUGUUUUCUAUCACAGGGCCUUCAAGGCAUCCCUUUGAUCUAAUAGGUAAUCUUUUUGUAAAGGGGAGAGGACAGCUCUGUGGCCAGAGGACACUGUUUCACAUCCAUUCAGGUUCACCUGUAGGUUGCCCACAGAGGGUAUUUCUUAUCGUAUGCAAGCCGUGUACCUGCUCUAUUCNNNNNNNNNNGAUAUACUAGGUAAUCUUUUUGUAAAGGGGAGAAGACAGCUGUGGCCAGAGGACACUGUUUCACAUCUGUUCAGGUUCACCUGUAGGUUGCCCACAGAGGGUAUUUCUUAUCGUAUGCAAGCCGUGUACCUGCUCUAUUCUCUACAGACCCAAGUGAGUUAUAUUCAUCUCAGAUGAUUUCCAGAAGGCUGGUUGUGCUUAUCUGGACUUCUGAUGUCAGGAAAGGAGAAAACAAAGUUAAGCCUUUAAACAGGAGCAAAACAAAUUUAUGACUCCUCUGAAACUCUGUAAGAAAGAGGAGAUGAGGGGAAGGAACAAUGAUUAAAGUAAAUUUGCAGUCUCAUUUAAUAAGUUAUUACUGGGUUGGGGAAAAGCUGGCAGAAUAACAUUUCUGAAGCCUUUAAAACAAUUCCAGCUUGAUGGGAAAACCUCUGAGCCUUCCAGGAAUAAAUCCUGUGCUAACAAGGAUGCUAUAUUUUAUUACCUUCUGGUAAUAUCUAUGGACAAAUCAAGAACAGAGCCCCACUGUGCUGUGAGCUGUACAGACUCGAGGUGGUUCAGAAGAGUCCCCCAGGGAAGGAGACAGUGAAGGGGUGAGAUGAGAUAAGCAGAAAGCAUGUAGGAGACAAGGAGGAAAAUGAGUAGCACCAGUAACUCUGUAAAGAAAGCUAAAGUAAAC